This 498-nucleotide ribosomal RNA is filed under the name uncultured bacterium. Its description in RNAcentral is "bacterial SSU rRNA". It matches the Rfam family "Bacterial small subunit ribosomal RNA", at positions 30 to 523 of the family's 1533-position model. The record is from RNAcentral.
AUUGAACGCUGGCGGCAUGCCUUACACAUGCAAGUCGAACGGCAGCACGGGGGCAACCCUGGUGGCGAGUGGCGAACGGGUGAGUAAUGCAUCGGAACGUGCCCAGUAGUGGGGGAUAACUAGUCGAAAGAUUAGCUAAUACCGCAUACGGCCUAUGGGUGAAAGCGGGGGACUUUCGGGCCUCGCGCUAUUAGAUGAGCCUAAGUCCGAUUAGCUAGUUGGUAGGGUAAUGGCCACCAAGGCGACGAUCGGUAGCUGGUCUGAGAGGACGACCAGCCACACUGGGACUGAGACACGGCCCAGACUCCUACGGGAGGCAGCAGUGGGGAAUAUUGGACAAUGGGCGCAAGCCUGAUCCAGCGAUGCCGCGUGUGUGAAGAAGGCCUGCGGGUUGUAAAGCACUUUCAGUAGGGAAGAAAGCCGAGUGCUAAUAUCACUCGGUCUUGACGUUACUUACAGAAGAAGCACCGGCUAACUCCGUGCCAGCCGCCGCGGUAA